GCUAGUUGGUGAGGUAACGGCUCACCAAGGCCACGAUGCAUAGCCGACCUGAGAGGGUGAUCGGCCACAUUGGGACUGAGACACGGCCCAAACUCCUACGGGAGGCAGCAGUAGGGAAUCUUCGGCAAUGGACGAAAGUCUGACCGAGCAACGCCGCGUGAGUGAAGAAGGUUUUCGGAUCGUAAAACUCUGUUGUUAGAGAAGAACAAGGAUGAGAGUAACUGUUCAUCCCUUGACGGUAUCUAACCAGAAAGCCACGGCUAACUACGUGCCAGCAGCCGCGGUAAUACGUAGGUGGCAAGCGUUGUCCGGAUUUAUUGGGCGUAAAGCGAGCGCAGGCGGUUUCUUAAGUCUGAUGUGAAAGCCCCCGGCUCAACCGGGGAGGGUCAUUGGAAACUGGGAGACUUGAGUGCAGAAGAGGAGAGUGGAAUUCCAUGUGUAGCGGUGAAAUGCGUAGAUAUAUGGAGGAACACCAGUGGCGAAGGCGGCUCUCUGGUCUGUAACUGACGCUGAGGCUCGAAAGCGUGGGGAGCAAACAGGAUUAGAUACCCUGGUAGUCCACGCCGUAAACGAUGAGUGCUAAGUGUUGGAGGGUUUCCGCCCUUCAGUGCUGCAGCUAACGCAUUAAGCACUCCGCCUGGGGAGUACGACCGCAAGGUUGAAACUCAAAGGAAUUGACGGGGGCCCGCACAAGCGGUGGAGCAUGUGGUUUAAUUCGAAGCAACGCGAAGAACCUUACCAGGUCUUGACAUCCUUUGACCACUCUAGAGAUAGAGCUUCCCCUUCGGGGGCAAAGUGACAGGUGGUGCAUGGUUGUCGUCAGCUCGUGUCGUGAGAUGUUGGGUUAAGUCCCGCAACGAGCGCAACCCUUAUUGUUAGUUGCCAUCAUUCAGUUGGGCACUCUAGCAAGACUGCCGGUGACAAACCGGAGGAAGGUGGGGAUGACGUCAAAUCAUCAUGCCCCUUAUGACCUGGGCUACACACGUGCUACAAUGGGAAGUACAACGAGUUGCGAAGUCGCGAGGCUAAGCUAAUCUCUUAAAGCUUCUCUCAGUUCGGAUUGCAGGCUGCAACUCGCCUGCAUGAAGCCGGAAUCGCUAGUAAUCGCGGAUCAGCACGCCGCGGUGAAUACGUUCCCGGGCCUUGUACACACCGCCCGUCACACCACGAGAGUUUGUAACACCCG
Molecule: ribosomal RNA, 1186 nt
Filed under: Enterococcus faecium
Lineage: Bacteria; Bacillati; Bacillota; Bacilli; Lactobacillales; Enterococcaceae
Description: bacterial SSU rRNA
Rfam family: Bacterial small subunit ribosomal RNA
Source: RNAcentral